This 445-nucleotide ribosomal RNA is filed under the name uncultured bacterium. Its description in RNAcentral is "SSU rRNA". It matches the Rfam family "Bacterial small subunit ribosomal RNA", at positions 26 to 518 of the family's 1533-position model. The record is from RNAcentral.
AGGACGAACGCUGGCGGCAGGCCUAACACAUGCAAGUCGAGCGCCCGUAGCAAUACGGGAGCGGCAGACGGGAUAGUAACACGUGGGAACGCGCCCUUCGGUUCGGAAUAACUCAGGGAAACUUGAGCUAAUACCGGAUACGCCCUUACGGGGAAAGAUUUAUUGCCGAAGGAACGGCCCGCGUCCGAUUAGCUAGUUGGUGAGGUAAUGGCUCACCAAGGCGACGAUCGGUAGCUGGUCUGAGAGGAUGACCAGCAUCACUGGGACUGAGACACGGCCCAGACUCCUACGGGAGGCAGCAGUGGGGAAUAUUGGACAAUGGGCGCAAGCCUGAUCCAGCCAUGCCGCGUGGAUGAUGAAGGCCUUAGGGUUGUAAAGUCCUUUUAACGGGGAGAUAAUGACGGUACCGUAGAAUAAGCCCGGCUAACUUCGUGCCAGCAGCCGC